Long non-coding RNA from Ailuropoda melanoleuca (giant panda), 877 nucleotides. RefSeq lists it as uncharacterized. The record is from RefSeq and is a predicted model, not a curated record. NCBI's taxonomy places the organism in Eukaryota, Metazoa, Chordata, Mammalia, Carnivora, Ursidae. The transcript has 3 exons.
ACAUUUCUCUAUGACUCCCUCCCUCGGUUCAGAAAAGGAUUUUCCUGGACAGAAGGCAGUAGGAAUGGAAAGUGUUCUGACCUUUGAACCACACAACCACACAACAUGAGGCUGGCCAAAGCCUUGCCUGACAAAUAAGAGUGAGACCUGACCCUGGACUCCUGGCUUGGAAGACCGUGCCUAGACCUUUUCUGCCAUUUUCUAUCAAGUUUUUGGACCCGGCCGUGAAGUGUGGCUUGCCGGCAUACCAGAAGCAAGAUGACAAGAAACCCCACUUUACUCACCAAUCUCUGCAUCACAUGUGUAAACCAGCCACCACGUGGGAAAAACCCAAUCUGGACCACCAGGAGAGAAACUGGGGCCCCCAGCCAAUAGCCAGCAUCCACUGUCAGAUAUGUGAGUGAAGAAUCCUGCAGAUGAUUCCAGGCCCCAGCUUUUGAGUCUUCCAGCUGCAGCCCCAGACCUCAUGGAACAGAGACAAGCCAUCGCCACUGUGCUGUAUCCAAAUUCCUAACCCACAGAACCCGUGAACAUAACAAAGGGCGUCUCAUGCUGCUCAGUCUUGGGGUAAUUUGUUAGGCAACAUUAGGUAACCAGAACAUACAGUAAUCUUCGGACAAGCAAGAAUGAGCGCAUAUCAACUGAAGCAGGAAGUGCCCUAGAGGAGUUAAGAACCAGAAUGGAAUGGCAUUAAAUAUGGAAAGCAUUACUAGCUCUCACCAUGUGGUUUCUAAGCCAGUUCUGCUGUGAAGUUGUUCCCUCAAAGGCCACCAACAACAUCAGAACUGACAAAAAAUAAAAACACCUCAACUUUUUCUCCAUACAUAUUCUUUUUUUUUUUUUUAAGAUUUUUAAAAUUUAUUUGACAGAGAGAGAG